CCUACGGUGGGCUGCAGUGGGGAAUAUUGGGCAAUGGAGGCAACUCUUACCCAGCAAUGCCGCGUGAAUGAAGAAGGUCUUCGGAUUGUACAGUUCUUUAAUUGGGGACGAAAAAAAUGACGGUACCCAAGGAAUAAGCCCCGGCUACUACCUUCCAGCAGACGCGGUAAUACGGAGGGGGCAAGCCUUGUUCGGAAUGACUGGGCGUAAAGGGUGUUUAGGCGGUGUAGCCAGUUAGAAGUUAAAUACCUAGAGCUUAACUUAGGUGCUGCUUCUAAAACUGCUAUACUUGAGUGCAGUAGAGGAAAGUGGAAUUCCUAGUGUAGCGGUGGAAUGCGUAGAUAUUAGGAGGAACAUCAGUGGCGAAGGCGACUUUCUGGACUGUAACUGACGCUGAGGCACGAAAGUGUGGGGGGCAAACAGGAUUAGAUACCCCUGUAGUC
Molecule: ribosomal RNA, 443 nt
Filed under: uncultured bacterium
Lineage: Bacteria
Description: partial 16S ribosomal RNA
Rfam family: Bacterial small subunit ribosomal RNA
Source: RNAcentral